ACAGCUAUACCACAUCGAAACCACCUGUUCUCAUCCGAUCACCGAAGUUAAGCAAUGUUGGGCCCGGUCAGUACUUGGGAGGGUGACCAACUGGGAACACCGGGUGUUGUAGGCU
This 115-nucleotide ribosomal RNA is filed under the name Cordylochernes scorpioides. The record is from RNAcentral. Lineage: Eukaryota; Metazoa; Arthropoda; Arachnida; Pseudoscorpiones; Chernetidae.